This 65-nucleotide transfer RNA is filed under the name Dipodomys ordii (Ord's kangaroo rat). It matches the Rfam family "tRNA". From Rfam's summary of the family: Transfer RNA (tRNA) molecules are approximately 80 nucleotides in length. Their secondary structure includes four short double-helical elements and three loops (D, anti-codon, and T loops). Further hydrogen bonds mediate the characteristic L-shaped molecular structure. tRNAs have two regions of fundamental functional importance: the anti-codon, which is responsible for specific mRNA codon recognition, and the 3' end, to which the tRNAs corresponding amino acid is attached (by aminoacyl-tRNA synthetases). tRNAs cope with the degeneracy of the genetic code in two manners: having more than one tRNA (with a specific anti-codon) for a particular amino acid; and 'wobble' base-pairing, i.e. permitting non-standard base-pairing at the 3rd anti-codon position. Lineage: Eukaryota; Metazoa; Chordata; Mammalia; Rodentia; Heteromyidae. The record is from Rfam by way of RNAcentral.
GGUGGCUCAAUGAUAGAGUCCUUGCCUUGUAUGCAUGAGGCCCUGAGUUCGAUUCCUCAGCACCA